RNAcentral lists this ribosomal RNA (220 nucleotides) under uncultured Staphylococcus sp. RNAcentral describes it as "partial 16S ribosomal RNA". It matches the Rfam family "Bacterial small subunit ribosomal RNA", at positions 120 to 334 of the family's 1533-position model. The record is from RNAcentral. Lineage: Bacteria; Bacillati; Bacillota; Bacilli; Caryophanales; Staphylococcaceae.
GGUAACCUACCUAUAAGACUGGGAUAACUUCGGGAAACCGGAGCUAAUACUGGAUAACAUUUGGAACCGCAUGGUUCUAAAGUGAAAGAUGGUUUUGCUAUCACUUAUAGAUGGACCCGCGCCGUAUUAGCUAGUUGGUAAGGUAACGGCUUACCAAGGCAACGAUACGUAGCCGACCUGAGAGGGUGAUCGGCCACACUGGAACUGAGACACGGUCCAG